Molecule: non-coding RNA, 74 nt
Organism: Danio rerio (zebrafish)
Lineage: Eukaryota; Metazoa; Chordata; Actinopteri; Cypriniformes; Danionidae
Source: Rfam
GGCGCUGUGGCUUAGUUGGUCAAAGCGCCUUUUUAGUAAACAGGAGAUCCUGGGUUUGAAUCCCAACAGUGCCU